UGGAAGAUGAAGAUCAGCAAAGGCAUGCCAAUGUACUGGACGUGGCAGGUUGGGAUAGUUGUAUUUUUGCUCUGGUUCUUGAAAGAUUUCCGGCAUCUUCAAGAAUUCCAUGUGGAGGCCCUGUUCUUGUUAAUCAAGUUCAGUGCAGCCGUCUCUUGUACUAGGACAGUCUAUUUCUAUUCCUGUAUUCAAACUUAAAUUUC
Molecule: unclassified non-coding RNA, 203 nt
Filed under: Hevea brasiliensis (rubber tree)
Lineage: Eukaryota; Viridiplantae; Streptophyta; Magnoliopsida; Malpighiales; Euphorbiaceae
Source: RNAcentral